CUGUGUCACUCACCAGGGGUGGUGAGGUCAGAAAUUGAGAAGUAGCAAAAUUAAAACCACCAAGUGAAUGAAUAAUAUUUAAGAAGAAUUUAUUGUACAUAAACACCACUUUUCUCUCUGGGAGCUUCCAACUUCAAAGGCUGAUAGGUUUGAGGACAUGAGGUUACAGCAUGGCUUCUAAAGUGAAAAUGAGGAAGUUGUCCACCUUUCCAGUGGUUGCUUAUUACAAGAGAGUUUUUCAGGUGUCAAGGGAAUGGUGAAAAGUGAUUAUCUCAUACCAUUUUAGGGAGAUGA
This 294-nucleotide long non-coding RNA is filed under the name Bos taurus (domestic cattle). Its description in RNAcentral is "long non-coding RNA NONBTAT009151". Lineage: Eukaryota; Metazoa; Chordata; Mammalia; Artiodactyla; Bovidae. The record is from RNAcentral.